AGUGAACGCUGGCGGUAGGCCUAACACAUGCAAGUCGAACGGCAGCACAGUAAGAGCUUGCUCUUACGGGUGGCGAGUGGCGGACGGGUGAGGAAUACAUCGGAAUCUACUUUUUCGUGGAUAACGUAGGGAAACUUACGCUAAUACCGCAUACGACCUACGGGUGAAAGCAGGGGAUCUUCGGACCUUGCGCGAUUGAAGGAGCCGAUGUCGGAUUAGCUAGUUGGCGGGGUAAAGGCCCACCAAGGCGACGAUCCGUAGCUGGUCUGAGAGGAUGAUCCGCCACACUGGAACUGAGACACGGUCCAGACUCCUACGGGAGGCAGCAGUGGGGAAUAUUGGACAAUGGGCGCAAGCCUGAUCCAGCCAUACCGCGUGGGUGAAGAAGGCCUUCGGGUUGUAAAGCCCUUUUGUUGGGAAAGAAAAGCAGCAGGUUAAUACCCCGCUGUUCUGACGGUACCCAAAGAAUAAGCACCGGCUAACUUCGUG
RNAcentral lists this ribosomal RNA (489 nucleotides) under uncultured bacterium. RNAcentral's name for it is "partial 16S ribosomal RNA". It matches the Rfam family "Bacterial small subunit ribosomal RNA", at positions 29 to 507 of the family's 1533-position model. The record is from RNAcentral.